GACCGGCUGGAAGAGCACUGUUCAAACAAACGGAGCUAUUCGGCUGCGCGAGAGCGGAAGAGCGUGUCAUCAGAAAUCAUACGUAGCCGGUCGGCUCCUUUUAUUUUUACACACUAACCGCGUAAGGUUUGCUCUCCGGCAUUCUCAAUAACAAAAGAGGUGAUAUGUAAAAAUGAACCUUAUUUCAACUACCCAACACUCUAUUUUAAUCGCUAUCAAAAUCUGCUCUCCAGUCCGAGCCGGUCUGUGUGAACGGACAGUUAAAAGGGUACAGACAGC
Molecule: long non-coding RNA, 279 nt
Organism: Maniola jurtina (meadow brown)
Lineage: Eukaryota; Metazoa; Arthropoda; Insecta; Lepidoptera; Nymphalidae
Exons: 3
Source: RefSeq, a predicted model, not a curated record